RNAcentral lists this ribosomal RNA (503 nucleotides) under Michailocoris josifovi. Its description in RNAcentral is "partial large subunit ribosomal RNA". It matches the Rfam family "Eukaryotic large subunit ribosomal RNA", at positions 755 to 1243 of the family's 3401-position model. The record is from RNAcentral. Lineage: Eukaryota; Metazoa; Arthropoda; Insecta; Hemiptera; Miridae.
GCACUCCCGGGGCGUCUCUAUCUCAUUGCGAGAGGAGGCGCACCCAGAGCGUACACGCUGAUACCCGAAAGAUGGUGAACUAUGCCUGGCCAGGACGAAGCCAGGGGAAACCCUGGUGGAGGUCCGCAGCGAUUCUGACGUGCAAAUCGAUCGUCGGAGCUGGGUUUAGGGGCGAAAGACCAAUCGAACCAUCUAGUAGCUGGUUCCCUCUGAAGUUUCCCUCAGGAUAGCUUGCGCUCGGGCGAGACGAGUCUCAUCCGGUAGAGCGAAUGAUUAGAGGCCUUGGGGUCGAAACGACCUCAACCUAUUCUCAAACUCCAAAUAGAUGAGAACCCCGGCUUUCUUGAAAUUUCAAAUGAAGCCGGGGGCUCGGAUCAGAGUGCCAAGUGGGCCAAUUUUGGUAAGCAGAACUGGCGCUGUGGGAUGAACCAAACGCGGAGUUAAGGCGCCACAAUCGACGCUCAUGUGAGACCAUGAAAGGCGUUGGUUGCUUAAGACAGCAG